AAAGUACUCCCUCCGUCCCAAAAUUCUUGUCUUAGAUUUGUCUAGAUACGGAUGUAUCAAGUCACAUUUUAGUAUUAGAUACAUCCGUAUCUAGACAAAUCUAAGACAAGAAAUUUGGACAGAGGGAGUAGUUA
Non-coding RNA from Triticum aestivum (bread wheat), 134 nucleotides. The record is from Rfam. NCBI's taxonomy places the organism in Eukaryota, Viridiplantae, Streptophyta, Magnoliopsida, Poales, Poaceae.